AAGCGAACGUUAGCGGCGGGCUUAACACAUGCAAGUCGAAGCGAGAAAGGGGCUUCGGCCCUGAGUAAAGCGGCGGACGGGUGAGUAACACGUAGGUAAUCUUCCCUUGAGCGGGGGACAACGAAGCCGAAAGGCUCGCUAAUACCGCAUACGUUUCCAGAGGCCCCGGUCUUUGGAAGGAAAGCUAGGCCGCAAGGUCCGGCACUCGAGGAGGAGCCUGCGUCGCAUCAGCUAGUUGGUGGGGUAACGGCCUACCAAGGCGAAGACGCGUAGCUGGUCUGAGAGGAUGAUCAGCCACACUGGGACUGAGACACGGCCCAGACUCCUACGGGAGGCAGCAGUGGGGAAUAUUGGACAAUGGGCGCAAGCCUGAUCCAGCCACGCCGCGUGAGUGAUGAAGGCCUUCGGGUCGUAAAGCUCUGUGGGGAGGGACGAACCGCUGUUGGUUCAUAGCCAACAGCAUGACGGUACCUCCUUAGCAAGCACCGGCCUAACUUCGUGCCAGCAGCCGCGGUAAUACGAAGGGUGCAAACGUUGCUCGGAAUGAUGGGGCGUAAAGCGCACGUAGGCGGC
This 573-nucleotide ribosomal RNA is filed under the name uncultured bacterium. RNAcentral's name for it is "bacterial SSU rRNA". It matches the Rfam family "Bacterial small subunit ribosomal RNA", at positions 26 to 579 of the family's 1533-position model. The record is from RNAcentral.